RNAcentral lists this long non-coding RNA (3983 nucleotides) under Podarcis lilfordi (Lilford's wall lizard). Lineage: Eukaryota; Metazoa; Chordata; Lepidosauria; Squamata; Lacertidae. The record is from RNAcentral.
CCUGAAUUGAUGGACAACACAAAUAAAUAUAUUAUACCCUAAAAGAGAACAUAAAAAACAACAACCCCAUAGCAGCCACAAUAAGAUCUGGCAGGACACUGAUCCUAAGAGUGCGUAAUGGCACUUAUUAAACAUCAGGAAUGAUUUCAGGGGCCUGAACGGACCUCCAAGAAAAUGUUUCUGCUUUUGCAGUCCCCAAUGAUUUUGCAGGCAGUGAGAAAAAAGGGGGAGGGAUAGGCAUAGGGAUAGGUGGAAUCCAGCACCCUGAUUGGGUGCAAAUCACCACUUCCCUAGUCAUCAGAUCAAUCAUGUGAUGAGAGGGGAUGUGUGUGUGUGUGUGUGUGUGUGUGUGUGCGCGCGCACACACACACACUUGCUAUUGUGCAUGAGAGAGACUGCAGGAGAGAGUUUGGAGUGGCCACACCCACUUCUUUAGGCCACACCCUCCACUGACAUUCCACACCCAGAGAAUUGGCCAUGGGUGAAUGUAGUUCUCUGGCCAAGGAAGUUAGCCCCUCCUUCUUAUGCACUGUGCAUGUUUAGAAAAGAUGACUGCUUGGACCAAGCGUCCUUGUAGGAUGAGCUGAAGUCUAGAACUUACCACUACUCUACUCUAUGGAGGUGAAAUCCACAGUCACGUCAGCUUUAAGCAGGAAAGCUUAAACUUGCAGUGCUGCUGGUCAUAUGGCUGCCUCACAUAGCACAAAGGGUUUCCAUGACAGCAGCAGCUAAGCUUAGCAACUGGCAAAACCAGUCAAGGACCAGAUGGAAGGAUUACACCAUGAUUGGGGCUAUAUAUGGUACUAUUGACGUGUGGAAAGUCAUCCUGCAGGGUUGGCUACUGGAUUCCUCUGCGAGAGUAACACUAAUAUUGAUAGGCUAGCCCUUAUUCUAUUGCGAAAGGCUGGGCUGGAUGAAUCCCAAGCCGGAAUUAAGAUUGCCGGAAGAAAUAUCAACAACCUCAGAUAUGUGGAUGACACAACCUUGAUGGCAGAAAGUGAGGAGGAAUUAAAGAACCUUUUAACGAGGGUGAAAGAGGAGAGCGCAAAAUAUGGUCUGAAGCUCAACAUCAAAAAAACAAAGAUCAUGGCCACUAGGCACAUCACCUCCUGGCAAAUAGAAGGGGAAGAAAUGGAGGCAGUGAGAGAUUUUACUUUCUUGGUCUCCAUGAUCUCUGCAGAUGGUGACAGCAGUCACGAAAUUAAAAGACGCCUGCUCCUUGGGAGAAAGGCGAUGGCAAACCUAGACAGCAUCUUAAAAAGCAGAGACAUCACCUUGCCAACAAAGGUCCGUAUAGUUAAAGCCAUGGUUUUCCCAGUAGUGAUGUAUGGAAGUGAGAGCUGGACCAUAAAGAAGGCUGAUCGCAGAAGAAUUGAUGCUUUUGAAUUAUGGUACUGGAGGAGACUCUUGAGAGUCCCAUGGACUGCAAGAAGAUCAAACGCAUCCAUUCUAAAGUAAAUCAGCCCUGAGUGCUCACUGGAAGGACAGAUCCUGAAGCUGAGGCUCCAAUACUUUGGCCACCUCAUGAGAAGAGAAGACUCCCUGGAAAAGACCCUGAUGUGGGGAAAGAUGGAGGGCACAAGGAGAAGGGGACGACAGAGGACGAGAUGGUUGGACAGUGUUCUCGAAGCUACAAACAUGAGUCUGACCAAACUGCGGGAGACAGUGGAAGACAGAAGUGCCUGGCGUGCUCUGGUCCAUGGGGUCACGAAGAGUUGGACACGACUGAAUGACUAAACAACAACAGCCUUUAUUCUGGGUGAUAUUGCAGCAGAGCUCCUAAAACAAAAGUAUAUUACACUCUACUUCUCAGAUCAGUGAGAAGACAACAUAGCACAGCAAUUACCCAAUUUGGUUUGGUUUCCUUUGGAAGGAGCUCCUUGGAGACUUAAUAGCAUGUUGUAGCAUGUGUGUUUGUUUAAUAAUAAUAAUGUAUUGUACCCCACCCAUCUGACUAGGUUGCCGCAGCUACUCUAGGUGGCUUUCAACGAUGUAUAAAAGAACACGCCAAAACUUCAAAAACCAAACCUUCCCGAUACAGGGCUGCCUUCAGAUGUCUUCUAAAAGUCAGAUAGUUGUUUAUUUCCUUGACAUCUGAUGGGAGGGUGUUCCUCAGGGCGGGUGCCACUACCGAGAAGGCCCUCUGCCUCAUUCCCUGCUACUUCACUUCUCACAAUGAGGGAACCACCAAAAGGCCCUCUGAGCUGGACCUCAGUGUCUGGGCUGAAGAUGGGAGUUGAGACACUUCUUCAGGUAUACAGGGCCAAAGCUGUGUAAACUUCCAAGUUAGGAACCUGGGACCUUCUGCACUGAACUCUGAUGCUCUACCACUGAACUACAGUCCUUCCACAAAACUGUGGUAUAUUAUUAUUUUCACACCACGAAACAUUGCCUCUUCCCCGGUGGCUAAAAAAAGGAAAUCUGGAUGAGUGAUCCAGCCAUUACCUAACCUUCUUGGGACACCUUUGUUACCAACAAGACUCAUCACCUGAGCGUCAACAGUCUUUCGUCACAUCUAGGAGGCUAGCUAGAUACUGCCUCAGGGCAACCCACACUCGCAGAGAAACCCAUUCGGAAAAGUCCAAUAGAAAACCGAUAACAGUUACUUUACUGCUGGAGUAAAAGUACUGCUCUUCUGAGCUGUCUGCACAGCCAACUCAAUUUACUCCCAGCUGUGUUGGCAGAGCGGAUGGCACAGUAAUGAAGUAUUUUACUGCUGGAGGAAACCGCUGCUGUUUGAGAGCCAUUGGGCAGUGCAGACAAUACAGAAAUGAAGUACUUCAUAGCUAAAUGGCUCUAUGACCAUGUCAGCAAAAGCACAUCCUCAGAUACCAAAGAUUCAGGUUGCAACAAGCAUCCUCAGGUGGUUACUGAAUCUCUUCCAAAUAUGCAAAGAUAAUUUGAGAAUUGCAUAUCCAUCUAUCUAUCUAUCUAUCUAUCUAUCUAUCAUCUAAUCCAUGAGUAGGCAAACUAAGGCCCGGGGACUGGAUCCAGCCCAAUCGCCUUCUAAAUCCAGCUCGUGGACAGUCAGGUAAUCAGUGUGUUUUUACAUAAGUAGAAUGUGUCCUUUUAUUUAAAAUGCAUCUCAGGGUUAUUUGUGGGGCAUAGGAAUUCGUUCAUCCCCCCCCAAAAAAAAUAUGGUCUGGCCCCCCACAAGGUGUGAGGGACAGUGGAUUACCCCCAUGCUGAAAAAGUUUGCUAACCCCUGAUCUAAUCUAUCUAUCUAUCUAUCUAUCUAUCUAUCUAUCUAUCUAUCUAUCAUCUCCUGCCCUUCCUCCCUGAGGAACCCAGGGCAUCAAACAGAUAAACAAUUUAAAAACAAAAAUCCCCAAAAACAUCCCAAAACAGAUUAAAACAGCCUAAGAACAACCACAAUUCAAAACAUUUUAAAGCAGUUACAGUUUGAAAUAUUCUAAAAGCAAUUGCAAUUUAAAAGCACACCUCCAUCCUGCAAUCUUAAGGUUACCAGGAACCAUAUUCUUCCACCAAAUACCAGGACAAGCAGGAAUGUUUUCAGAUUCCUCCUGAAAGUUAAUACUGGUGGAGACAGGAGCACUGGGAGGGACAUUCAACAAACAGGGAACCACCACUAAAAAGGCCCUGUCAUGGGUCACUGCCAACAACACAGCUCCUGGAAGCAGCACUGUAUGAACAACAUUAGUUCAGAAUUAAUGAGGACUAGUGCUAGGCUGGAGAGAGCCCUCAUCUGCCAGGACCUUUCUAGCAGGGCCUUAUUGGCAUGGUUACUGGCUUAGGUGGCACACCUCCUCAGCUCCAACUGGUGCUGGGUGGCCAGCUAGGAAGUCCCACAAUGCUCUGGGAUGCCCAGUGCAGUCCUGGCUGAAAGAGACAUUUCCUGGCAACCUUGAAAAUACUAGCAGUCAGUAGGGAUGGGGGAUUCUGCCAGUUUUGGUUUCUCAUUUUUCCAGUCUUAAAUUCAGUUCUCUACAAAAAAAAAUAAAAAUUAAUAAAACAAACCCCAA